GGUGAACGCUGGCGGUAGGCUUAACACAUGCAAGUCGAACGGCAGCACAGUACUAUCUUGCUCUUACGGGUGGCGAGUGGCGUGCGGGUGAGGAAUACAUCGGAAUCUACUUUUUCGUGGGGGAUAACGUAGGGGAACUUACUCUCAUACCGCAUACGACCUACGGGUGAAAGCAGGGGAUCUUCGGACCUUGCGCGGUUGAAUGAGCCGAUUUUGGAUUAGCUAGUUGGCGGGGUGAAGGCCCACCAAGGGGACGGUACGUAGCCGGUCUGAGAGGUUGAUAAGCCACACAGGAACUGGGACAGCGUCCAGACUCCUACGGGAGGCCGCAGUGGGGAAUAUUGGGCAACGGGCGCAAGCCUGCUCCAGCCAUACCGAGUGGGUGAAGAAGGCCUUCGGGUUGGAAAGCCCUUUUGUUGGGAAAGAAAAGCAGCAGGUUAAUACCCCGCUGUUCUGACGGUACCCAAAGAAUAAGCACCGGCUAACUUCGUG
Molecule: ribosomal RNA, 492 nt
Filed under: uncultured bacterium
Lineage: Bacteria
Description: partial 16S ribosomal RNA
Rfam family: Bacterial small subunit ribosomal RNA
Source: RNAcentral